RNAcentral lists this microRNA precursor (104 nucleotides) under Marmota monax (woodchuck). Lineage: Eukaryota; Metazoa; Chordata; Mammalia; Rodentia; Sciuridae. The record is from RNAcentral.
ACACAAACCAUCUGGGGAUUUUGUAAAAAGCAUAUUGAGAUUCAGUAGGUCUGAGAUGGGGUUAGACAAUUUGCAUUUCUAACAAACUCCCAGGUGAUGCUAUU